CUCGCGUCCCGCCGCCGCCGGGCUGCGACAGAACCGCGGCGUCCGGGUCAUCCCCUGGCGCAGCCGGGCUCCGCAGAGAUCGCCCGGCAGCUCCCGAGACCCCGGCCGCGGCCGCGCCGAUGCCGUAAAUCCGUCCCCACGGCGGCGUGGCCGCGGGUCAGCCCGGGGCAGCCCUGCGGGCGGAGCCGGGGGACGCGCCGAGCGCUCCUCGCACACACGGGCUGUGACACCCGCACGCAGCCGCUGCCCGGCCCGGCAGGCUCCGGCCCCCGGCGCUGCCCGGAGCUGGCAGCGCCCGUGGGAGCGCUGCCCGCCCGCCUUUAUGUGACCUUAACGCGGGUUUCUGUGCUUAGCGCCAAGUAGGAAACGCCGGUGUGUGGUGCCGCGUUAGGCUAAGCCUGUACUUUUAAAAAAAGUUAUUUCAGUAAGUUGGUUUAAUUCAGAUCCAGGCUUUUUCCCACGCUGGUUAAACACAAGACCGCUUCCAUGCUCCGCGUUUGCGGGGCAGAUGGCAGCAGUGAUUUAUAAAACAGACAUUGCAUUCUUUUUUAAUUAAGUAUCCUUGUAGAUUUUAUCUUCCCUGAAAUUGACAGGAGCACGUAAGACAUUACAUUAGUCUGCCAAAUCAUACGUGCCCUUUCGACUAACAGCUUGUAGAAAACCAAACCGUUUCCCAAAGAUUAAAAAAUAAUUUAAAAAAAAAGUGGGGGAGCGAAGUCUGGUUUUGUAACCUAUGGCCAGUUGUAGCAGUUAUGUUUUUUUGGCUGUAUGUAACACACCUUUGGAACUUGGCAGUUUUGCGUGAAAUGUUUUACUUACACCGUGAACUCGGCCAGUGCUGCCGUUCCUGAUACAUAGAUUAAUUUUGCUGUUAAUAAAAGUACACAGCCAGAUGCUCUAAUUGUAUUGUAGUUGCUUUACGGUUUGCUUUUUUUCCAGAGUAAAAGAAGUUCAGUCUAAAGAUGUUUAUAAAAGGUGUUUAUUAUAAAAUGAGUAGGUGAGGGGCUGAUACUGCCAUGAAGGAUGCUGGACCCUGUGCAGCAUGGAGGAUGUAUCCGACAGAAGUUACAAGGCAAAUACACACCGUGCAAGCGGCAGGUAAAUGUGAAGACAGCUGUUAAAAGGAGCGCUUGAAAGCGGGAACCACCAGCAUUGAAACUCCUCCGAUGAAUCACUCCAACAAGGAUGGAUACAUUUAUUAGCGAGACAAGUGUUCUGCAGUUAGCGCAUCCUUCUCUCUCCGGAGAUAAAGAGCACUACCCGCGAACUUUUCUGAGCCUGUUAGCGCUGUGAACACCCAAGUUUGGGUAUGGUUUGUCCCCUCCUUUACUGGAAGGAUAAUGGAGGCUUUUCUUAAAGGGUGCCGUGUUUUAACACCCGGGCCAGCUGCUAAGUAGGGCUAGAUUUCCGAUGGAUUUCCUUGAACGCGUUACUUAGUGGGGCUAAGGAAAGGCAGCCAUAAGGCAAGAGCAAGCCAGUGGAAUCCCAAACUCAAUUUCAGAGCCCUUGAGAAAAUACCUUGGCAGUUUGAACUCCACCUCAUUUCUGCUCUAUAGUGCUGGCCUGAGGCAUUGUAGCUACUAGGGACUCAAGCCCAGGAGGAGACCUGAAGGGCCUCAGCUAAGCAUAAAGCAGCACGAGCAUAUUGUUGCAAUAACAGUGUUCAAUGGAAAGGGAGCGAGCCAAGUUGUCUCCAGGCAAUGCAGGUAGCAAGCUUAGAUUGGCUUCCCAGCCAGACAAGUCCCAUUUCUUUUCACCAUUUGAACUUGUGCUAUACACGUCAUUUAUUCAAAUGUUCAUCUUUCCCCCACUUUGUGCCUUUGGCUCAAAAACCACUCUGUGACACUGCGGCAAUCUGUGAAAAAUUCCAGGUCACCGGGGAGGGGAGUAGUGGUGCCCUAGCGAGAGAACUCUUCAGUAAAAUAAUCACCACUGCUCUGGAAUACAAUGAGCCAUUAGUGACUUGAGCAAACUGCAGGAGACUUCAGUCACCAACACCGAUGUGCUCAGAACCCCAGGGAAGCUGAAAGCACUGUCUGCACUUGUAUGGAGUUCUCGAAGGGUGGGUAUGGCAGAUCCCUAGACCUUCACCUGCAGAAACUCAAAGGUGGCAGCCCUCCCCGGAGAAUGCCUUCUCGGAGUUAGUUCAAAGGACCCAGUCGGCUGGAGAUUCCCCUGGGCAGGGGUGAGGAGCCACGGUGGCUGGCAGGGAGGUGGCAGCGCUUGUCCCCUGAGCUGGGACUCAGAACAGCUCAGUGUGCUGGUGCUUGGUACGGUGACAAGGAGCAGAAGAAUGAACCUAAAUUUAGAAGCCUUUUUGCUUCCUGUGCUGCAAACAUUUGGGAUAAGCAAGAAUCCAACUGGAAACCUUCAGCAAGGCUUCUUUCUUGUAGAUCUUUGCAAUAGCCCACAGCAGCACUCAGUAGGCAGAGAUGUGGCAUGAGAUGUCAAAAGCACUUUCAGCAGGAACUAAUUUUGGCAGUUUCAUUCUGUAAAAAGUAUUGCUAUGGUACGAGUACAUCGUCUGUCACUUCACCACAUCUUGAAACUAGGCCACUGUGCAGCCAGACACAGGAGUUAUGGAGCCCGGAAAGAAAGGAGAUGAGAAACAGUGGGGUGUGGAGCCAGCUCCUUGAAACUUAUAUACCUUUUAUGUUAAGACUCUAAUGAGCAGACAAGCCCCUUGUGCAAAAAGAGAAGCCCACAGCGGUAACCAGAUCCCCGGUGCUGCUCUGGGGCUGGCUUUCAGCGGUUCCUGUGUCGCUGGCCACCCUGUGCGCAGCAGGCAGGGGAGGUGCCCGCUGCCGCCAGGCAGCACAGAGCCAAGCGGCUGCUUUCUGCAUUACAGCGCCAUUUCUCCACCCGAGUGUGGCUCCAGCCUUUGCUGGAAGGGUGCUUGUCCCCGGGGACAGCCAAGUGGAUGGAGUCUCGGAUUUCCUGCGGGUUCCUGCUCGGGUGCAGCUGAGCUGGACGGGACGGGCAGGAUUGCCCUCUAGAGGGACGGCAGGGGGGACUCGGAACGCCAGCGGUGCCACGAGUCAGGCACUGACUCACCCAAAUCGGGCAGAUUCUUAAAUUAGGCAGCUUGGAAUUCACCUUAAAUCAUUUAGGCAUGUAUUUGAUAUAAAUAAACUUCAAAGAGACUGAAUAUAUUAGGGGGAAAAAAAAAAAAGAAAAGAAAGCAGGUUCCAACAUUUUCUGCCUUGAAAUAAAAGGGUCUGAAAGGCACCAUUAAAAAAUCG
Molecule: long non-coding RNA, 3242 nt
Organism: Passer domesticus (house sparrow)
Lineage: Eukaryota; Metazoa; Chordata; Aves; Passeriformes; Passeridae
Exons: 2
Source: RefSeq, a predicted model, not a curated record